This 408-nucleotide ribosomal RNA is filed under the name uncultured bacterium. Its description in RNAcentral is "partial 16S ribosomal RNA". It matches the Rfam family "Bacterial small subunit ribosomal RNA", at positions 28 to 526 of the family's 1533-position model. The record is from RNAcentral.
GACGAACGCUGGCGGCGGGCCUAAUAAAUGCAAGUCGAGCGAAGCGGCGGAUGGGUGAGUAACGCGUGGGUAACCUGCACUUAAAUCUGGGAUACCAUUUGGAAACAGAUACUAAUACCGGAUACUAAAGGAUGGAGCUGUGUGGCAUUAGCUCGUUGGUAAGGUAACGGCCUACCAAGGCGAUGAUCCAUAGCUGGGUUGAGAGAAUGAUCGGCCACAUUGGGACUGAGACACGGCCCAAACUCCUACGGGAGGCAGCAGUAGGGAAUCUUCCACAAUGGACGCAAGCCUGAUGCAGCAACGCCGCGUGUGUGAAGAAGGUCUUCGGAUUGUAAAGUUCUGUUGUUCGGGAAGCGUUAACCAAAGAGAAAGUAACGGCUAACUACGUGCCAGCAGCCGCGGUAAUAC